Long non-coding RNA from Priapulus caudatus, 424 nucleotides. RefSeq lists it as uncharacterized. The transcript is spliced from 3 exons. Lineage: Eukaryota; Metazoa; Priapulida; Priapulimorpha; Priapulimorphida; Priapulidae. The record is from RefSeq and is a predicted model, not a curated record.
AUUAAUAAAGGCCGAUACAGUUGUUUCACAAGCUUACAGGAUAGUAUGUGUGUAUGUAUGGUUAGUAGGUAUGGUGUCGAUGUAGCAGGUAUAGUUAGUCAUGUGUCGCUGAAUGACACAACGUACGUACGGCUGAAUCUCACGGUCAGCUAACUCGAUCAGCGUUAUGCGGGUUGAAGCGGAAUUGUCGUAGAUUUGAGAGAUUUGAGAGAUUUAAGAGCUAGAUGUCGGGCCAUAGGCGGGUAUACGUCAGCAGGAGCCUGUCACGCGCGACAGGGCGCGCGCAGUUUUAAUCAACGUAUAAUCGGUGUGUAAGUUUGUGUUCCACACAUGAUCGGUCCUAGGACUCACGUCGGGGUACAAGAGUCGACGUUAUUGAACGGCAUUUCUGUACGCAAAACCGUUACACAACCGCGUUCACACG